UAAUGCACAGUCAACUUGUGGAACUCAUUGCCAGAGGAUGUAGUGAAAGCUAAAAGCAUAACUGGUUUCAAAAAAUAAUGAGAAGUUCAUGGAAGACAAGUCCAUCAAUGGUGAUUAGCCAAGAUAAUAACUGUUUCAGAGCAGU
Molecule: long non-coding RNA, 145 nt
Organism: Gopherus evgoodei (Goodes thornscrub tortoise)
Lineage: Eukaryota; Metazoa; Chordata; Testudines; Testudinidae
Exons: 3
Source: RefSeq, a predicted model, not a curated record